This 508-nucleotide ribosomal RNA is filed under the name Glomus sp. OGS2. RNAcentral's name for it is "SSU rRNA". It matches the Rfam family "Eukaryotic small subunit ribosomal RNA", at positions 569 to 1078 of the family's 1831-position model. Lineage: Eukaryota; Fungi; Glomeromycota; Glomeromycetes; Glomerales; Glomeraceae. The record is from RNAcentral.
AGCAGCCGCGGUAAUUCCAGCUCCAAUAGCGUAUAUUAAAGUUGUUGCAGUUAAAAAGCUCGUAGUUGAAUUUCGGGGUUAGUAGGUUGGUCAUGCCUCUGGUAUGUACUGGUCUCACUGAUUCCUCCUUCCUGAUGAACCGUAAUGCCAUUAAUUUGGUGUUGCGGGGAAUUUGGACUGUUACUUUGAAAAAAUUAGAGUGUUUAAAGCAAGCUAACGCUUGAAUACAUUAGCAUGGAAUAAUGAAAUAGGACGUUCGAUCCUAUUUUGUUGGUUUCUAGGAUUGACGUAAUGAUUAAUAGGGAUAGUUGGGGGCAUUAGUAUUCAAUUGUCAGAGGUGAUAUUCUUGGAUUUAUUGAAGACUAACUACUGCGAAAGCAUUUGCCAAGGAUGUUUUCAUUAAUCAAGAACGAAAGUUAGGGGAUCGAAGACGAUCAGAUACCGUCGUAGUCUUAACCAUAAACUAUGCCGACUAGGGAUCGGAUGAUGUUAAUUUUUUAAUGACUCA